AGUCGAGUGAGGAAACAAAUCUAAUGAAAGAGCAGGAGAGUAGGAUAAAGAUUCAGUAAAGGUGUUGAUGAGAAUAUCGACCAGAUUCAAAAUCAGAGUACAAGGGUGAUGCUGAGACAGAAGUGUUGAAAAGGACACAGGAACCAGAAGCAAAACGAUGGGAGGUAAAGUGAAAAGAAAGAACCAACAGAAGGGCCAUGUGAACAGUGUAAUGAACAUUCAUUCACAGGUAAUUGUUGGAUCCAUUAGCAGGAAGGUAAUGUGCUUUGGCUUUUAUCACUCUGUAUUAAGGUGGAUUAUACCUUCACAGUCUUUCAGUGUUGUAAUAUUCACAUUUACUUUGAUGACCUUUGACCUUCAAUUGUUCAAACCCUACAAAGAUGAGCCUGUAAAUCAGGUCUAAACAAGAACAGCAAAAUGAAUUCUUCCCUAAAAGGUCUAACGAAGCUGCAUCAAUUGUUCUUGCUGAUGAGAAACAGUUAUGCAAUCUGGGAAAUGUUCCAAACCGUUUACAUCAUGAUACUCGCAGAGCAAUGAUGGGCGUCUCUCUCUGCUUGGUUACACUGUUCUGUUGCAAUCAUUGUCUAUAGAUGAGAACAGAAGCCUUUCUUAGGCUGUGUCUCAAAUCAGGGUCUGCAUCCUACGUCGGCCGGAUUCGUCGGCCGGUUACGUCACAGCGCCGCGACUCGGCCUGUCCCAAUUCGAAGACUCCUUCAAAUGUGGUCGACGAAUGCAGCCUUCUUUUCGCCUGAAUGAAGGAUGGGUCCGGUGUAUCCUUCAAUAGGUAGCAUUUCCCAAGAUGCCUUGCGGGCCGGCCGGCAGAAAAACUUAAAAACAAUGGCGGACAGUGAAGCGGGAGCUGUCGGAGAGGAUUGCGCAUAUAAAUGAACAAAAGAGAAAACCAGGGAAUUUAUUAAGCUUAGGGCGGAGAUGGACCACAUGAUCACCGGAGCAAAGUAUUCGGCGGCUGUGGCAUGGAGACUAUUCUGGAGAAAAUGGGCAUCCAGGGGAAGGUGACAGCGAUGACCAGCUUCUGGAGCUGAUCAGGGAGGACAUGAGGCUGCAGAGGGAGGCAGAGCAGCAGAGAGCACAGGAGAGAAGGAAGAACUUUGACAGCUUUUUACUUUGCUAGAAAAAAAUGGUUAAGGAAGAUUAAACAUGUACAUAUAAAAGAAAUAUCUAAACAAAAUCAGUUCUGCAUUAAACUCUUGAAUUUUAUUUUUGUUUACAAAUGAGAAUUGUUUACUAGAGGGUAUCCGCUGGGUCUUGAAAAGUCUUAAAAGGUGAUAAAUCGGUUUUGGUCAAAUUAAGACCCUUAGAAAGUAUUAAAAACUAUUAUCACAUCUUUGCUC
Nothobranchius furzeri (turquoise killifish) is the source of this 1352-nucleotide long non-coding RNA. RefSeq lists it as uncharacterized. The record is from RefSeq and is a predicted model, not a curated record. NCBI's taxonomy places the organism in Eukaryota, Metazoa, Chordata, Actinopteri, Cyprinodontiformes, Nothobranchiidae.